GGGGCCAUGAACUCUAGAGAUAGAGCUUUCCCUUCGGGGACAAAGUGACAGGUGGUGCAUGGUUGUCGUCAGCUCGUGUCGUGAGAUGUUGGGUUAAGUCCCGCAACGAGCGCAACCCUUAUUGUUAGUUGCCAUCAUUUAGUUGGGCACUCUAGCGAGACUGCCGGUGACAAACCGGAGGAAGGUGGGGAUGACGUCAAAUCAUCAUGCCCCUUAUGACCUGGGCUACACACGUGCUACAAUGGGAAGUACAACGAGUCGCUAGACCGCGAGGUCAUGCAAAUCUCUUAAAGCUUCUCUCAGUUCGGAUUGCAGGCUGCAACUCGCCUGCAUGAAGCCGGAAUCGCUAGUAAUCGCGGAUCAGCACGCCGCGGUGAAUACGUUCCCGGGUCUUGUACACACCG
Molecule: ribosomal RNA, 404 nt
Filed under: Enterococcus faecalis
Lineage: Bacteria; Bacillati; Bacillota; Bacilli; Lactobacillales; Enterococcaceae
Description: bacterial SSU rRNA
Rfam family: Bacterial small subunit ribosomal RNA
Source: RNAcentral